Molecule: transfer RNA, 84 nt
Filed under: Felis catus (domestic cat)
Lineage: Eukaryota; Metazoa; Chordata; Mammalia; Carnivora; Felidae
Rfam family: tRNA
About the family: Transfer RNA (tRNA) molecules are approximately 80 nucleotides in length. Their secondary structure includes four short double-helical elements and three loops (D, anti-codon, and T loops). Further hydrogen bonds mediate the characteristic L-shaped molecular structure. tRNAs have two regions of fundamental functional importance: the anti-codon, which is responsible for specific mRNA codon recognition, and the 3' end, to which the tRNAs corresponding amino acid is attached (by aminoacyl-tRNA synthetases). tRNAs cope with the degeneracy of the genetic code in two manners: having more than one tRNA (with a specific anti-codon) for a particular amino acid; and 'wobble' base-pairing, i.e. permitting non-standard base-pairing at the 3rd anti-codon position.
Source: Rfam by way of RNAcentral
GCCUGGGUGGCUCAGUCGGUGAGUGUCUGACUUUGACUCAGGUCAUGAUCUCAUGGUUCGUGGCUUCAAGCUUCACAUCAGGCU